RNAcentral lists this ribosomal RNA (975 nucleotides) under uncultured Lactococcus sp. RNAcentral describes it as "partial 16S ribosomal RNA". The stretch from base 1 to 766 matches the Rfam family "Bacterial small subunit ribosomal RNA", at positions 28 to 873 of the family's 1533-position model. The record is from RNAcentral. Lineage: Bacteria; Bacillati; Bacillota; Bacilli; Lactobacillales; Streptococcaceae.
GAUGAACACUGACAGAAUGCUUAACACAUGCAAGUCAACUUGAACUUCUCUUUGUGUGGCGGACGGGUGAGAAACACGUAAAGAACACGCCUCACAGAUAGAGACAACAUUUGGAAACGAAUGCUAAUACCUGAUAUUAUGAUUUUAGGGGAUCCUAGAAUUAUGAAAGCUAUAUAUGCUGUGAGAGAGAUUUGUGUCCCAUUAGCUAGUGUUGGAGAGAACACCUCUCCAAGAGGAGGAUAUGUAUAGGCCCUGUGAGAGUGAUCGGCCACAAGAGGACUGAGACACGGCCCUUACUCCUACGCGAGACGGCAGUGGGGAAUAUAGGACAAUGUGCCAAGAGACUGACACCGCAAUUCUCUGUGCACGAUGAGGAUUUUUGGAGUGUGAAGUGGUUUCUGUUUUGAAGAAAAAAAUUACACUAUCAAAAGAAGAGGUGAGGCCGAAAAACGUGCGAGAGGAGGCGGAAUACGUAUGUGGCACGAGCUAUUCGGGUUUUUUGGGGUAAAGCGCGCCUCGGGGGGGUAUAUAAAAACUGAUGUGAAAAAACACGGGUCUACUCUGUAUUGCGUUGGGAAAAUGUGUAACUAUGGGUGCUGGGGGAGGGGAGCGGGAACUAUAAGGGGUUAGGGGGAAAUUCCCCGGAUAUAUGUAGGGAUUCUCGAUUGGGGGAACCCAGCUCUUAUGGACAGAGUCAGACACUGAAACGCGAAAAAGCGGGUAUAAAGAAGGGUUAUAUUCCCCGUGUAUCCACGGGCAACACCCCAAAGGGGGGGGAUCCGGGGGAUCCCCAAAAUUUUGUAGAGGUCUCGCCGGGGGACCCCCAUAUUCCCCCAAAAAGCGGGCCGUGGAAAAAAGGCCGGGUUGGCCAUUUUUUUAAUAUGUCGGGGCCUGCGAAAACCCCUGUUGUUUCUAAAAAUAAACCGCCCCGCGGGAAAAUCCCCUUUUUUUUUUUUUUUUUUUUAUUUUUGGUGC